AAAAACGUCACAUCAUAGGCUUUCUGGCGAUAUGAUUGGUUAAGGGAUUUGUGGCGCGAAUUUCUUUUACUACGUGAAGGAAAAAUCAAGAGUUGACGUCUCCCUCCACUAGAGGAAAAACAGCAGGAAGUAUUAUGCAUCGUUGAUCUUGACGUCGUCUAAAGGAGAAACUACUGGAUCAUCUGAGAUGGAGGGAGAGAAGUACGUGCAACUGGGGUGAAAGCAGCCGACUGCUGAUGGCAAAUAUGACCCCAAGGACCAAGAUGGCAUGGGACAUGGAUGGGUUGCUUCUGGAUGAAGAAGACAGUGAUGUGCUACAGGAGGAGAUAAUCUUCCAUCAUCCUCAGCUGGGUAAGCAUGUUUGUGUGUGUGUGUGCGUCCAUCUGGGCGCAAGCACAUUUCUGGUUGUGAACUCCAAUAGCAUUUACACCCCAUCGUCUGCUAGGCUUAGAUGGUCACACACACGCAUGCACACACACACACACACACACACACACACACACACACAACCAUGCCACAGCUGUGACAAUGCACACACCACGGAUCUGGUGUGAAUGUGGCGUUAGUGUAUCACCUUAUGUGUGGGGCAAAUGAUAUGGAUAAUUAUAUAUUGUAUCGAAUUAUAUGCUGUAUGGUUGUUAAAUGUAUUGAAUUUCUUCUAACGUUUAAAUUGUUUAUAUAUAUACAUAUGUGUGUGAAUGUUAGUAUGAAUUGAUGUUUUGUUCACCAUGUAAGAUUUGUUGAUAUUUGUUAUACUGUUGUCUUGUCAUUCUUGUAGUUCUAAUAGUUACUGCAUGUUUGUAAACAUAUGUUUAUGUUAUUUACCUGAAGUUGUUGUUCCUGGUUAUUUAAUCACAUUGUUUAAGACUUUUCUAAAUAAAAUGAUUUAUUUCCCCUUUCGUAAACCUAACACAUGUGCCAGUGUCUCUAUAUUCUUGUUUUCAUAGUAGAAUGAAGCACACAGAGAAGCAGUUACAAUCAGCUAGUCUGCCUUUAUCUGUCCUCCCCACAAUUGAUUUAGCCUCUUCAGAGUACAGUAAGACAUCCCAUAUUGAGCUUGUUUUGAUGGUAAAACAGCUUAUUUUUUUACAUGACCAUUAUAUCUGUAUUUUUAGGUCAGAUGCCAAACCGGGAAAUGAAAACAUUCUACUCUUUAAAAAUUCUACUUGUUACUGUUAUGAGUAAAUUAAUCAUAACUUCUGAACCAAA
This is a long non-coding RNA of Alosa sapidissima (American shad), 1209 nucleotides long. RefSeq lists it as uncharacterized. The record is from RefSeq and is a predicted model, not a curated record. The transcript has 2 exons. Lineage: Eukaryota; Metazoa; Chordata; Actinopteri; Clupeiformes; Clupeidae.